CGCCGAAAUCUUACCGGGACCGACAGCAAUAUGAAGGCCAGGCUGAAGACUUUGCCGGAUUAGCUGAGAGGUGGUGCAUGGCCGUCGUCAGUUCGUACUGUGAAGCAUCCUGUUAAGUCAGGCAACGAGCGAGACCCACGCCCACAGUUGCCAGCGUACUCUCUGGAGUGACGGGUACACUGUGGGGACCGCCGCUGCUAAAGCGGAGGAAGGAAUGGGCAACGGUAGGUCAGUAUGCCCCGAAUAUCCCGGGCUACACGCGAGCUACAAUGGUCAGGACAAUGGGUAUCGACACCGAGAGGUGGAGGCAAUCUCCUAAACCUGUCCUUAGUUCGGAUUGUGGGCUGCAACUCGCCCACAUGAAGCUGGAAUCCGUAGUAAUCGCGUUUCAAAAUAGCGCGGUGAAUAUGUCCCUGCUCCUU
This 422-nucleotide ribosomal RNA is filed under the name uncultured Methanolinea sp. RNAcentral describes it as "bacterial SSU rRNA". It matches the Rfam family "Archaeal small subunit ribosomal RNA", at positions 916 to 1338 of the family's 1478-position model. The record is from RNAcentral. Lineage: Archaea; Methanobacteriati; Methanobacteriota; Methanomicrobia; Methanomicrobiales; Methanoregulaceae.